CCUACGGGUGGCUGCAGUGAGGAAUAUUGGUCAAUGGGAGAGAUCCUGAACCAGCCAAGCCGCGUGAGGGAAGACGGCCCUAUGGGUUGUAAACCUCUUUUGUCGGAGAACAAAACCCGGGACGAGUCCCGGACUGCGUGUAUCCGAAGAAAAAGCAUCGGCUAACUCCGUGCCAGCAGCCGCGGUAAUACGGAGGAUGAGAGCGUUAUCCGGAUGUAUUGGGUUUAAAGGGUGCGUAGUCGGUCUGUUAAGUCAGCGGUAAAAUUGCGGGGUGAAACCCCGUAGAGCCGUUGAAACUGGCAGACUUGAGUGGGCGAGAAGUACGCGGAAUGCGCGGUGUAGCGGUGAAAUGCAUAGAUAUCGCGCAGAACUCCGAUUGCGAAGGCAGCGUACCGGCGCCAGACUGACGCUGAGGCACGAAAGCGUGGGGAUCGAACAGGAUUAGAUACCCUUGUAGUC
Molecule: ribosomal RNA, 459 nt
Filed under: uncultured bacterium
Lineage: Bacteria
Description: partial 16S ribosomal RNA
Rfam family: Bacterial small subunit ribosomal RNA
Source: RNAcentral